Molecule: non-coding RNA, 104 nt
Organism: Xyrichtys novacula (pearly razorfish)
Lineage: Eukaryota; Metazoa; Chordata; Actinopteri; Labriformes; Labridae
Source: the annotation of a GenBank genome assembly
UCCUGAGACAUUACCUGGUUAUAACCUGGUUAUAACCUGGUCAUAACCUGAGACAUUACCUGGUUAUAACCUGGUUAUAACCUGGUUAUAUCCUGAGACUUUAC